Molecule: ribosomal RNA, 438 nt
Filed under: Wolbachia endosymbiont of Aphis gossypii
Lineage: Bacteria; Pseudomonadati; Pseudomonadota; Alphaproteobacteria; Rickettsiales; Anaplasmataceae
Description: bacterial SSU rRNA
Rfam family: Bacterial small subunit ribosomal RNA
Source: RNAcentral
CAUACCUAUUCGAAGGGAUAGGGUCGGUUCGGCCGGAUUUUACACAAGUGUUGCAUGGCUGUCGUCAGCUCGUGUCGUGAGAUGUUGGGUUAAGUCCCGCAACGAGCGCAACCCUCAUCCUUAGUUGCUAUCAGGUAGUGCUGAGUACUUUAAGGAAACUGCCAGUGAUAAGCUGGAGGAAGGUGGGGAUGAUGUCAAGUCAUCAUGGCCUUUAUGGAGUGGGCUACACACGUGCUACAAUGGUGUCUACAAUGGGCUGCAAGGUGCGCAAGCCUAAGCUAAUCCCUAAAAGACAUCUCAGUUCGGAUUGUACUCUGCAACUCGAGUACAUGAAGUUGGAAUCGCUAGUAAUCGUGGAUCAGCAUGCCACGGUGAAUACGUUCUCGGGUCUUGUACACACUGCCCGUCACGCCAUGGGAAUUGGUUUCACUCGAAGCU